This 783-nucleotide ribosomal RNA is filed under the name uncultured Neocallimastigales. RNAcentral's name for it is "partial large subunit ribosomal RNA". It matches the Rfam family "Eukaryotic large subunit ribosomal RNA", at positions 22 to 623 of the family's 3401-position model. Lineage: Eukaryota; Fungi; Neocallimastigomycota; Neocallimastigomycetes; Neocallimastigales. The record is from RNAcentral.
GUACACGCUGUGACUAGCAUAUCAAUAAGCGGAGGAAAAGAAACUAGCAAGGAUUCCCUUAGUAACGGCGAGUGAAGCGGGAAGAGCUCAAAUUUGAAAUCUUCAAGGUUUUACCUUGACGAAUUGUAGUUUAAAGAAGUGUUUUCUGCUGAAGUUUUGGUAAAAGUUCUUUGGAAUAGGACAUCAUAGAGGGUGAGAAUCCCGUAUUUGACCAUUAUUUUCAGCUUUGUGAUACACUUUCAAAGAGUCGGAUUGUUUGGGAAUGCAGUCCAAAAUGGGUGGUAAAUUUCAUCUAAAGCUAAAUAUUGGCGAGAGACCGAUAGCGAACAAGUACCGUGAGGGAAAGAUGAAAAGAACUUUGAAAAGAGAGUUAAACAGUACGUGAAAUUGUCAAAAGGGAAGCGUUUGACACCAGUGUUGUUUUCUCGAAAAUCAAUUAAAAAAUGGUUGGAUUUUGUAUUGUAUUGAGACCUUAACAGCUUCACUGUCACAUCUUUUCGCUGUCUUUUUUAAUGCACUUUUCGUUUAACAAGUCAACAUCAGUUUCUUUUGUUGUAAAAGGGUCAUUGGAAGGUGGCUUUCUUUUCGGAGAAAGUGUUUAUAGCCUUUGGCCUCUGCAAUCGAAGAGACUGAGGUCUGCAGCGUAGACUCUUCGGGGUUAGAUACAUUUGUGCUAAGUUAUAGCUUUUUCAUAGACAACUUGUUGACUACUAAUUAGUCAUGUAGCUUACUCGCUUAUGCUAUUUUACCUACGCUUAGGAUGUUGAACUACUGAGACAUAGA